UACAGAGGUCUCAAGCGUUGUUCGGAUUCAUUGGGCGUAAAGGGUGCGUAGGCGGCGCGGUAAGUCGGGUGUGAAAUCUCGGAGCUUAACUCCGAAACUGCAUUCGAUACUGCCGUGCUUGAGGACUGGAGAGGAGACUGGAAUUUACGGUGUAGCGGUGAAAUGCGUAGAGAUGUGGAGGAACACCAGUGGCGAAGGCGACUCUUUGGCCUGUAACUGACACUGAGGCGCGAAAGCGUGGGGAGCAAACAGG
This 253-nucleotide ribosomal RNA is filed under the name uncultured bacterium. RNAcentral's name for it is "partial 16S ribosomal RNA". It matches the Rfam family "Bacterial small subunit ribosomal RNA", at positions 524 to 776 of the family's 1533-position model. The record is from RNAcentral.